CAAGGUAAUAGAUCCUUAAAUAAUAAAGUGAAAGGGGAGAUAGGAAAGUUGGGUGGGAACAAAACUAGCUCAGUGUGUUAGAGAGAUUAUUGUUUGAGUUCCCAGUAUUUAACGGCUGGGUUCGCAGUGGGGCAACUGAAUUCAGCAGCAGUGUUGUUCUGGCCAGUUAUUCGGUGGGAAUGUCGACCUGAGCAACAACACCGUGAAAAAGCCAGAGGGCCUGUAGAAGCAGCCGGAAUCAACGGAGCACAGACAAUUCAGAUUCUUCAUCCAGGGACUGCUGCCGCACUGAAGCCAAGACUCACUAACAGCCACUGCUAGGAAGGUGACAACACCUCACGAUAAACUCUUGACAAUCAUAUAACUCUGCUGGCAGUCGGCUUAGGAGAUCAGAGAAAUGGAAUAGGAACUUUCGUGGUAUCCCUUGUAGGAGAAAAGAUUAAAGUGUAGCACAGAACAGAGCUCCUUUUGUGGCAAGGCCAAAGAACGUCAAUGCAACAACCAAACACCAUAUGCCAGGAAACCUGAACAUUCUGUUAGGCACAAACCCCGUUGGAGGACAAAUUCACCUCAAGACUACAAGCUUCUGGGAUUGAAAAAAGUCCACCUGAUAAUACAACAAUUCUUACAGAGUGAAAGACAAGAACUAGAUAGGAUUUUGCUCCUGCCUAUCAAAGCUUAUAAGAACUAUUUUGGUAUUCAUUGACAUUAUUAACAUUUGUAUUUUUCUUAUAAUAUUUAACUUUAAAUCUAUGUAUAUCCAUCAAUUUUCAUUAAAUAUUUCUGGAUAACAUGUCUGUUGCUUUGGAAAGCCCACAUUUUAGUUAAAAAAAGA
This 835-nucleotide long non-coding RNA is filed under the name Calidris pugnax (ruff). Its description in RNAcentral is "lncRNA (ENSCPUG00000018450.1)". The record is from RNAcentral. Lineage: Eukaryota; Metazoa; Chordata; Aves; Charadriiformes; Scolopacidae.